Molecule: non-coding RNA, 137 nt
Organism: Anopheles culicifacies
Lineage: Eukaryota; Metazoa; Arthropoda; Insecta; Diptera; Culicidae
Source: Rfam
AGCUUUGCGCAGUGGCGAUAUCGUAACCAAUGAGGUACAACCGAGGUGCGAUUAUUGCUAGUUGAAAACUAAUAAUUAUUAUUUUAUGUUUUCAAAAUACUUUUUAUUUAUUGUAACAAUUAAGACUUCUCUUCAAG